Alligator mississippiensis (American alligator) is the source of this 361-nucleotide long non-coding RNA. RefSeq lists it as uncharacterized. Lineage: Eukaryota; Metazoa; Chordata; Crocodylia; Alligatoridae. The transcript is spliced from 2 exons. The record is from RefSeq and is a predicted model, not a curated record.
CAGUGAAGCAACAGCGGUGACAAGAAAUGGUGAGUGGCAGCAAGUGGGCGGGCAGGCAUGAGCACAGGGCCCACACUGGUGCCACAGGGCCAGAGCCAGCAGGGGCCUAGAGCCGGGCAGCAGGAGCAUGGGGCCCAGACUGGCACAUGGUGCCAGAGCAGCCGGCAGGCAGCCGGAUGGGAAGAAGCAGCAGCAGCAAGAAGCAGUGCAUUUGUGACUGCUGCUGUUCUAUGUCUGGUCUCAGUGCAAGUGAUGGGAAGGAAGUGAAAGGAGAAAGGAUAUGACUAAGGACUUGGCUUAAAAGGCCUUUUGUUCUCAUUACAUUUUGUUUUUAAAAUAAAAAUGAUCUUCACGCGGCUUA